Molecule: microRNA precursor, 64 nt
Filed under: Bombyx mori (domestic silkworm)
Lineage: Eukaryota; Metazoa; Arthropoda; Insecta; Lepidoptera; Bombycidae
Description: mir-2774 microRNA precursor family
Rfam family: mir-2774 microRNA precursor family
Source: Rfam by way of RNAcentral
ACAACAUUAGAACCGUCGGUCUACCGAGUAAUAACACCCGCUCGGUGGAAGAUCUCUCCGUCGU